AUGAACGCUAGCUACAGGGCUUAACACAUGGCAAGUUCGUGGGGGCAGCAUCAUCAAAGCUUGCUUUGAUGGAUGGCGACCGGCGCACGGGUGAGUAACACGUAUCCAACCUGCCGAACAACACUGGGAUAGCCCUUUCGAAAGAAAGAUUAAUACCGGAUGGCAUAGUCUUCCCGCAUGGGGAUGAUUAUUAAAGAAUUUCGGUUGUCGAUGGGGAUGCGUUCCAUUAGGCAGUUGGCGGGGUAACGGCCCACCAAACCUACGAUGGAUAGGGGUUCUGAGAGGAAGGUCCCCCACAUUGGAACUGAGACACGGUCCAAACUCCUACGGGAGGCAGCAGUGAGGAAUAUUGGUCAAUGGACGAGAGUCUGAACCAGCCAAGUAGCGUGAAGGAUGACUGCCCUAUGGGUUGUAAACUUCUUUUAUACGGGAAUAAAGUUAGCCACGUGUGGCUUUUUGUAUGUACCGUAUGAAUAAGGAUCGGCUAACUCCGUGCCAGCAGCCGCGGUAAUACGGAGGAUCCGAGCGUUAUCCGGAUUUAUUGGGUUUAAAGGGAGCGUAGGCGGGUUGUUAAGUCAGUUGUGAAAGUUUGCGGCUCAACCGUAAAAUUGCAGUUGAUACUGGCGACCUUGAGUGCAACAGAGGUAGGCGGAAUUCGUGGUGUAGCGGUGAAAUGCUUAGAUAUCACGAAGAACUCCGAUUGCGAAGGCAGCUUACUGGAUUGUAACUGACGCUGAUGCUCGAAAGUGUGGGUAUCAAACAGGAUUAGAUACCCUGGUAGUCCACACAGUAAACGAUGAAUACUCGCUGUUGGCGAAUAUACAAGUCAGCGGCCAAGCGAAAAGCAUUAAGUAUUCCACCUGGGGAGUACGCCGGCAACGGUGAAAUCAAAGGAAUUGACGGGGGCCCGCACAAGCGGAGGAACAUGUGGUUUAAUUCGAUGAUACGCGAGGAACCUUACCCGGGCUUAAAAUUGCAACUGACUGAACCGGAAAACGGUUCUUUCUUUCGGACAGUUGUGAAGGUGCUGCAUGGUUGUCGUCAAGCUCGUGCCGUGAGGUGUCGGCUUAAAGUGCCAUAACGAGCGCAAACCCUUACGGGUAGUUACCAUCAGGUUAUGCUGGGGACUCUACCCGGA
This 1138-nucleotide ribosomal RNA is filed under the name uncultured organism. RNAcentral describes it as "SSU rRNA". It matches the Rfam family "Bacterial small subunit ribosomal RNA", at positions 29 to 1148 of the family's 1533-position model. The record is from RNAcentral.